AUUUUGGACAAUGGGGGAAACCCUGAUCCAGCCCUCCCGCGUGUAUGAUGAAGGCCUUAGGGUUGUAAAGUACUUUUGGCAGAGAAGAAAAGGUAUCUCCUAAUACGAGAUACUGCUGACGGUAUCUGCAGAAUAAGGACCGGCUACCUACGUGCCAGCAGCCGAGGUAAUACGUAGGGAGCAAGCGUUAAUCGGAAUUACCGUGCGUAAAGCGUGUGUAGGCUGUUCGGAAAGAAAGAUGUGAAAUCCCAGGGCACAACCUUGGAACUGCAUUUUUAACUGCCGAGCUAGAGUAUGUCAGAGGGGGGUAGAAUUCCACGUGUAGCAGUGAAAUGCGUAGAUAUGUGGAGGAAUACCGAUGGCGAAGGCAGCCCCCUGGGAUAAUACUGACGCUCAGACACGAAAGCGUGGGGAGCAAACAGG
This 423-nucleotide ribosomal RNA is filed under the name uncultured bacterium. RNAcentral describes it as "partial 16S ribosomal RNA". It matches the Rfam family "Bacterial small subunit ribosomal RNA", at positions 361 to 776 of the family's 1533-position model. The record is from RNAcentral.